UGCCUAUCUUCAGUUCUGAGUUCUUAUGA
Molecule: non-coding RNA, 29 nt
Filed under: Mus musculus (house mouse)
Lineage: Eukaryota; Metazoa; Chordata; Mammalia; Rodentia; Muridae
Source: RNAcentral